Molecule: long non-coding RNA, 840 nt
Filed under: Fukomys damarensis (Damara mole-rat)
Lineage: Eukaryota; Metazoa; Chordata; Mammalia; Rodentia; Bathyergidae
Description: lncRNA (ENSFDAG00000031591.1)
Source: RNAcentral
CCGGAGUCUUGGGGUUUCUGUGAUGUCACACUCACCUGCUGUCUCCUGUGCCCGUCUCAGGGCCCUGUGCCCUGUGUGCCUGGCCAGCAGACAGGGUGGGGAGAUGCUUUCCACAGCUCAGAGUCGCUCAGCGAAUGACAAGGGCCCGCUUUCCCUGCCCACCUGCACCUACAAAGAGUGUGGGCCUUCCCAGCGUCCUGUCCCAGUUUGAAAUCUUAAAGGAGGAACCAAGAGAGCCUUUGUUUUGAUCUAUGAGUCCUGCUGUGACUAGAGGUGGAGUGUGGAGACCUCAGGCGAAGUGUAGCCAGUGUCUUAACUCGGUGCCAGGGAAGCAGCGAACAUCCACGUGCGGGCUUGCAGCUCACCCUGUUUUAGCAGGGCUGACAGGAUCCCAGAUUCUGGUGCAUAAUGCAGAAGGAGUCUUGAACGUCUGGACACAGAGCAUCCACCUGGUGUAAAUCGCCCGACAAAUCUUACAGCCUUGGGUUGAAGCCCUGCAAGGAGUACUGUGUCUCCCAGCCCUGUAGUGUCACUUCGGAGAGUGCAGAGAGCUCCCCAAGCUCAGAGGAGUAUGGACAUAUCUACCCCAAACCGUGCUCUGAGAAAAACAAAACAAAACAACAACAACAACAACAACAACAAAAAAACAAAAUAGAGGAACCGCACUUCCCUGGAAGAAAGGCUGUCUCAGCCUUGCAGUCUAGCCGUCCAUGUUCCACACCUGUCUGUCAUGAGGCAUGGUGGGAAGAUCCUUCCUUGAGGGUCUUCGAAAUGGGGCUCCAUCUCCGUCAUCAUUUCAGUGGAAUUGGCCCAUGCUCCCCUGGGACACCUGUCACCUGA